Molecule: long non-coding RNA, 669 nt
Filed under: Gallus gallus (chicken)
Lineage: Eukaryota; Metazoa; Chordata; Aves; Galliformes; Phasianidae
Description: long non-coding RNA NONGGAT009267
Source: RNAcentral
GUUUGCGUCAGGCUAAUCUUGGCCAAAGGGCUCUGGCAUCAGGAUUAAGGAUCAACUCCUCAAAUCUGCCUCAGCAUACGAACCAAAGGCAAACAUCUGCGGCUGUGGGAUGUUCAAAUGCUGCAUGGCAAAGCACAAAAGCAGAACAGCUGCUUAAGGGUGGGGGACAGCUUUCCGUUUGCUAGAAUGCAGCUUCCUGCACAGCCAUACUGCAAUGCAGAAGGAAUACAGGAGACAAGGGAAGGAAAAGCAAAACCCGACUUGGUGGCUCUGGGCAGCAGGACGGUGCCGCGGGAUGGUGUCACUGUGUACCUGGCUCUGUAGGUGAUAAAGGACAGGUUCAGGCACCAGGGGGACACACCAAAAACCCCAGGAAUCAAAGGAAGAUGACAGCUGAGCUCUGCUCCAGGAGAAUCAGUCACCUGCAGGCCAUGAGCUGCACGCACAGCUUAAGGAAUUAACUUAGUCUAGAUGUGAACACCAUGCACUGCUGAGCAGAAGGCCAAGCACCCCACAGACACACAAGUGCCUGCUUGGCUUGUAUGACCCCUCCUUACCCCUACAGUGUAAAAGAUGGCAAUGGUCAAGGCUCGUAAAGGCAGCUGUUCUUCAAAUAUCUGGCAGGAUACUUAUUACAUAUCAGAUGCUGAACACAAGGCAACAAAUUGG